Molecule: long non-coding RNA, 928 nt
Filed under: Panicum hallii
Lineage: Eukaryota; Viridiplantae; Streptophyta; Magnoliopsida; Poales; Poaceae
Description: long non-coding RNA (PHAL_LNC000421)
Source: RNAcentral
CGACGAGUUCUUUCGAUAGCAGGGUUGCGUCGCUUCGAUCUCCAACUUGCUAAUAAGUUCCGUAUUUAUCAAGUAUCGAACAAAUUAGAUCUUUGACCGACGGCCCAUCACUUUCUUCUUGAUCUAUUUACUAACCAGUUAUCAAUAUUUGGUAUUCUUUGCAAGGUUGAUUUAUUUAAUCUUGUGUAGUUUUGUUUUUAUCACACGUGAUCCAGGUUAGAUCGGCUGCGGUUACCUUUUAUUAUUUUGAGUUACUGCGUAGAAUAGAAUAUAGCCGAUUAUAUCGUAAAGUAGCAGUGAAUAAUCGGUACCCAUGUCCAUUGAGACUCGAGUAACUUCCAAAGAAAUCAAUGGAUCUAAGUGGCAACAUAUCGAUGUAUCGAACAAAUGCAAUCUAAAAAUAAAGAGAAAGUGUCAUUGUAAAUGUGCUAAGGCCGGGUGAAGCACAAAAAAUACCUUGGUGAUAAAUGAUAACACCAAUCGUAAGAGACCCUGCCAGUAAAACAGCAAGCAGUUAAACGUUUACACAUUACACAUAACUAGCUAACCAUUACAACGGAACUAGGAAUCAAAUGCAUUAUUUAAGUUGCAUAAGCAACUGUGCAUAAGUACCAUCAGGAUAAGCUUGCCUUGCCAGCUGGAGUGCAUCAGAAUUAGCUAAAUCUGCCCGAGCGCGUGGAGGUACGGUGCCACUAAGGAAUCCGCGGCGACUUGCAACUGCAGCCGCCGCCACGGGCGAGCUCGGAUGGCGCGCGGCGCGGUCACCUCAGACCCGGCCGUCGCCGUCCCGGAGGACGAGGACGCCUUGCCGUGACUGUCGGCCUCGCACAGGCUUGGCCGCGGGCACGCACGGCCGCCUCCCCGUCGCGGGGGCGCGCGAGCUGCUGUUGCGCGAGUGGGCCGCAUCGCGGGUAGGCGCGCUCCCCGC